AAAUUCAGCAGGGUUUCAACAACAUAACAAACUUGGAAAUUCAGCAGGGUUUCAACAAAAUAACAGACCACGACAGUACCAAGGGAGUGCCACUAGUGAGCAUCCGACAGAUUACUGCUGCACACCAUUACAGCAGCAUACACACACAUACACAUAACAGAACGGAGGAGAGGCGAAAGCAUCAACUGAAGGCCGUCACUCAGUGGCAACCAGCGGCAUGUUUCUGCGGCCUGAUCCAGUCGUGCAGCACCAUGGUCACCCUGUCGUGCUGCUUCACGGAGGAUCCGUGCAGGAGCGGGGCGGCGCGGGCGAGGACGCGGUUGUAGUGGACGUACUCCUUCUGCCGGAACCUCUCCUGCUCGGGCGGCGUCAUCUCGUCCCACUGAGCGUGCAGCUUCUCUGACAGGCUCCGGUCGAUGUUGUACCUGGUGGCGCCGAAGCACGUCUGGCUCAGGACCCGCCUUGCCAGGGUCUGCAGGUCGGGCACGCGAGCCCCGUGGGUCGACCACCAUUCAACUGCGAAUGUCGAGUGAAGCGCGGUAAGAAGGUGCGUAAUUCAUGUAGUAUGAUAUGAACGGAUGAAUGAAAUGGUGAUCAUCUCAGUGGGUGUAAAUGUUUGGGUUUGAAAGUUGAAGUGAAAAUGGAAGAAGAGAAGGCUCCUGUACAGUUUAAGCAGACCAUAUAGCCCAGUUUGCAACUUGCAACUAACUAAGCAGCUAUGUUGACAAGCUUAGGCUGAUGCAGAGAACUUGAUUAUUCUACACGUUCAUCUGUAAACCUUUUAACUUCUCUACUACUCCCUCUGUCCCAUAAUGCAAAAACGUCUUACAUUAUGGAACGGCGGGAGCAUUUAUUUAAACAACCAUGUCGACAAGUUAGGCUAAUGCAGAGGAGUUGAACUUUGAAUAGAAGUGCACUUAUGACAUGAUAUAUUUGUGCCAUGUUCACAUGCUAACUAAAUAUGUUGGCGCACUGUAUGUUACGGUGCACAAAUGCACAUAUCAGAUUUUGUGGAGGACCUCAGACACUAUUCCAGCUCACUCUAAAGAUUGGAAAAAAUCAAGUACAUAUGACACAUAAAGGCACUACCGUCAGUGGCUUGUUAGGGAGUGGUCAUUUUGCAAUAGGUUAGGGUGUAGCUUACCUUGUGGUAAUUCCAUGAUUUGCUGCAUUGCUGGAUCUGUGUCGAAAUAGCCCAACUUCUUUUCAUACACUUCCAAUUGUGCAGACGCUUUUCUGGCAUUGUAAUGAGCCUUGCCCAGUUGGAUUGUGCAUGCCGCGAUGCCGCCGCUGAUCUCAGCAUCAGGCUGGAAUCCAGCUGUGUAAAAGAACCUUGGGUUUAGCAUCUGACCAGCAGCAUGGAGGGGACUAUGCAAGUAACCAUCCCAUAUCCUGUCAAUCAUACACCAAUAGAAGUCACUUUCAUAUCCGACACUGAGAGAUAUCUCUUCUUUUGCUCUGUCCAUGGCUUCAUACAAGAUACCCAUCGGACAGAUAUCAGAUUCCAGUUUAUACAACACAAUGACAAGUGGUUUUGUAACCUUCACGACUUCAGCAGCAGCAUGCCAAAAUUCAUCGUCUGUCUUUACUAUGCUCUGGAUAUGCUCAAACAAAUCAAGACAAGCCCAACCAGAGGGAACCCAUUUAGGCGAGCUGAACAUCUGCACCAGACCUACUCUUGCAGAAACUAACCUCUCUAAUGUGAUGAACACUGCCACAAAUCUCAGAUAAGAACUGCUCAAAAUCUCCACCUGAACAUAUCUUCCUUUCAGUUUCAUUGGCAGUGCAUGGCCAUAUAAAAACCUUGUAAUUUCCCUUGCCUUCAUUAGGACUUCACUGACAUGCUCGAGCGCUGCUAUUUUCUCAAGCAGAAGGUUGAUGCAAUGGUCAGCACAUAGCACGAAGAAAAAACUGUCAUAUUUAUUUAGCACAUACUGCCGUGCCAUCUGCAUAUGGGGUGACACGUCAUUCAUGACAAUCUGAACAAUGUUAUGGGCACCGACAUCAUCAACCACGCGAGAAAGCAUUGAUUCUAGCUCAUCCAAGUCCUCAGUGAUUUCAGAGACGUCAAUGGAUGUGAGGAACUGCGUACCUUUGCUGCAGUGCACCAGGACACUUACGAAGCUUUUGUCACACUUGCUCUUCCAACUAUCAACAAUUACAGUGCAGCCACUUGUUUGCCACUCUUGCUUGAGUUCCUUUGCGCGGUUCUCAGUUUCUCUUAGUUGCUCCUGCAGAACAGCUUCGUACGUAGGCUCAGGUGCAGGUUUGGAGAAGAACUUGCCUAUUGAUUUUGCUGACGGAGAAUCGAAGUAAUCACUUGCCUCAACCUUGGGUUUCAGUUGACAAGAAUUAUAUGUGAUUUCCUUGGGCUGCCUCAAAUACGGUAGAAAAUGAAGAAAGCAGCGGUUAUUGGAUACAGUUGGUUGUAGCUGUGGUUGCUGGACUUGAGCAGAUGGAAGGGCUGGGCUUGUGUGAGGAACCUCAUCAUGUUCAUGCUUCCGUUUCUUCAUUUUUCUGAGCAUCCAAGCUUUCUCUUCUUGCGAUCCACAAGUGAACUCCUUAAGCUUGUGCUGGCAUUGCCCCUGAUGUCUGCUAAAUGGUGCUCUAGGCGGUUGUAACUCAAAACCACCUUAACGCAGUAAUUGCAGCUCACUCUGCAACCUUCCUCAUCAAUGGUUUUGCCAUGCCUUUCUUUUCCACGGCUACUUGUCUGAGGAUAUUGUACAGAAAAAACCUGAAGGAAAGCAAUGAGAGAUACUUCAGUAAUGCAAAAAUUAAAAUGUCAAAUUCCCAAAACAUGAGUGCAACAUUUCACCAAUGAUUAGAUUUCAUCUGCUUCCUCUUAAUGACAGCACAUGAUGUAUGCUAGUGAUGAAUUUACCACAUGUCAACAGAGAAGACUGUGAUCCAACUAAACACUGUACCUUAGAAGUUUAUAAACACAGUAUUACUGGAUGAAACAGUUUGUUCUGUAUUUUUUUUCCCAAUAAAGAACAGUUUGUCUGUAUAACUCUUCAAGAAGAACACAUAAAGACUGCACGAUGAUCUUACAAAGCCAGUAACAUACCCCCUCUGACACCCUCCUCUCCCCCGCCGCUUGAUCUCCCUCCUCCGGCCAACUCCUCCACAACAAAGAGCAGAUCCGGAACCCUCUCGCCACCCAUACCGAAGUCCAGCGGCGCCGUCACCAGGGUCGGAGCCGCCGUCGACCUCCACGCCUGACUUCAUCCCAGCUCGCUCGCUCCCGUACGGCCCCCUCGGCCGCACCGGGGCGCCCCAGCCGGCCGCCCUCGGCCUACCCUGCCUCGCCCCUCCCCCUCGCCGCCGCUGGAGGGUGCCGUCUGGGCAAAGUCUGGGCGGCACGGGCGGCAGCGGGGCCUCAACUGUCUUUGGCGGCGCUGGUUCUCGGGGCUCCGACGGGGGCCUCGUGAUCCCGUGCGGUGCCAGGCGUGCUGCCCGACGGGGGUCUGUGCAGCGCUCGGGCGACGGCUCCGGCCGCGAGGGGCGCGGUGGUGCGCGGAUCGGGGUGUGUGCACCGCUCAGCGGCUGUGCUGAUUGCGCCCGGUUUCCUUUAGUACUGUAUAUCUGUUUUUCGCUCGGUGUUUCCUAAUUAAUCAAGAAACUUAUCUUUUUAAUGAAUGCAGAAAUCCCGUCAUUCGGAAAAACAAUACCCCUCUGAAACAAAUGGCGUGCAGUGACUUUUUUCCUGAUACUAAAAUUAAAAAAAGUUCAUAGUUUUAGCAAUUCCUUCAAAUCGGCUCAAACCCCUUUCAAAACCUAACAUUACGCUGCCCAAUUCACAAAAAACAGACAAAACCUAAAAUGAAGAAAGGGGAAUUCUUCGGGCAUGCUCCAAUGCACACCCUCUGUGUAGAAGAAAGCCGCAAAUGACUUUGACUGUUUGCCAUUUCUGGACAUUGACGAGACGACGGGUUUUAGUUGAGGAAAGGACAUUCACUGAUGGGUGGGUGAACAAAUUUUGUUGGAGAACAACAUUUCAUUCUUUUUACCAUGAUAUGCUUUUAAUAGUUAGAUCAGCAAUUAUUUCUGAAAUCGCGGUCACCAGAAAAGGCAACAGAAACUUCGGUGGAUUAUUGGGGCAAACCUCGAUGAACCAAGCAUGGUUCGAAAGAGAAUCCUACGGGGGUGGAUGUGUACUAGAGAGACAUUGGAAAACAAACAAAGAUAGGCUGGAAAAAAAUGUAAAACCCAAGUGAGAUGGGUGUUGUGUUGGAUACAUAUUCACUUGAUUGGUUACUUCGGAGAAUUUCAUCGGCAUAAACAAAAUUCCAAAGAACACCUUGGGAUAAUCCUAGUUCUUAAUGUUGCAUUUGAACAAUGAGAUUUCAAAAAAAGCCCGAGAAAUAUGCAUUUAGUUCUAAUAUACUCCCUAGAAAAAUAGAAAUGGUAUCAACAAAAACCUUUUAUGCUCCUAGUGAAUAAAUUGCUUUUACUUACCUUUGACUUUAGAUCUCGUCUUCUCCGUUCCAAGUGGGGCAAUGGUUGUGGUGCGCUGGAAAAGGGUGAAUGGUGCGGCGCGUCUGGGCCUUGCUAUAAUCCUAGUUGAAUAUCUGAACGCACUUACUGCACUUGAACAAUGAGAUUUCCAUGGAAGCCUGGGAAAUAUGCAUUUAGUUCUAAUAUGCUCCCUAGAAAAUACAAAAGAUGGUAUGAAUAGAAUCCUUUAUGCUCCUAGAGAAUAAAUUAUUUUUUCUUACCUUUGACUUUGGAUCUCGCCGUCUUCAUCCAAGAUGUAAAAAGAGGAUGGCCUGGGCAGCGACUGUGGUGCGUCGGGAAAGGGCGGAUGGUGCAGUGCGCCGGUGCCUUAGAAUACCACAAUCUCACCUAAGAGGAAACACAUAGAUGAUGGAUUUACGAGGGCAAACAUAUCUAGAGAGUGGAAGUGGCGGCGGUGGAUGGAGGAGAAGAUAGUUAGAUCUGGACAAUGUUCAUGGUUGCCGGUGGAGGAGAAGAUAGUUAGGUCUAAGGAGUGGUGGUGGCGGCGACGGAUGGAGGAGAAUAUGGUUAGAUCUAGACAAUAUUGAUGGUUGCAGGUGGAGGAGAAGAUAGGUGGGUCUAGAUAAUGUUGAUGGUUGUGUCGUGUGGGAGGGGAUGGCUUUAUAGUCGCGCGGUUUGGGACUAGGGGUGCGACCACGAUCCGCGUGAUGCGGGGUGCGGGCCGUCAGAUUGGAGAUGGGUGGCGGAGAAUGGGGUAAACGAGGUGGCGCGGAUAGGUGACGUGGCGGGGUAGGCGUGUUUCUUUUCUAAGGGUGAGGUAGGGUGCGGGGAUGCGAGGAAGGCGUGCGUGUCGGGUAGGUGGAUGCCAGUUGGGACUGGGCGUUUUUUGGAUGGAUUGCUUUUGCGCACGGCGUUGCUCGCUGUCGCAAGUUUUGGAUGGAUAUCUGGUCGAUGGGCCCAUGAGGUGUGUGGUCGUGAUGAGACUAGUGCGAAGGCGUAAAAUCAAAUUACUGCUAGGACAAUUUGGAAAGCGUAUUUCUAUGUUUUCCACGGUCAAUUGAUACGAGGGGUGCUUCUUUCAGGUAUUGUAUAACACGCCUCAACAAAAAAAGUACUCCCUUUGUUCAACUAUUAUCUAGUUGUUUCUCAGCAGCGGCCGUCACGCCACAUAACACCUCGACUUGCCCCCCAGGGUCUCGGAGAGUUAGCGACAUAGCCGCCGACGUUUGAUGGCAAUGACGCCCCUCCUCUCCUUGUUGUGUUGUGUUUCGUGGUCACUGCUACACUCUAGCUUUUUCUUUCUGAUCAACGUGGCGCUCAGUGGUGGCAGAGAGGAGGGAGGAGGCGGCAAGAGCGAGGAAGGAACUGGGGUUUUGGGGCGAGAUGGAAAUGACUUUGUCCGUUUGCCAUUUCCGGAGAUAGAUGAGACUAGGGGCUUUAAUAGUUGGAAGGACAUCUACAGGUAGGUGGGUGGGUGGGACAAUUUUCUUUGGGAGAAAUAGCCUUUCUAUCGGCGUUCUGGGAACAAGGGUACCCAGACUUGCCUGCCUGCGGCCCAUGGCGUGGCUCCAUCGACGGCCUGGUAUGGCCCAUCCACAACACCUUCAAGACAAGACCCUCGCAAGGGGCCAAGCCUCGCGAGGCGGGCGACAUCAAGACCUCCGGGGGGAGCGGCCUGAAGGAAAUAUGCCCUUGAGGCAAUAAUAAAGUUGUUAUUUUAUAUUUCCUUAUAUCAUGAUAAAUGUUUAUUAUUCAUGCUAGAAUUGUAUUAACCGGAAACAUGAUAGAUUUGUGGAUACAUAACAAAACAUCGUGUCCCUGGUAAGCCUCUACUAGACUAACUUGUUAAUCAAAGAUGGUUAAGUUUCCUAACCAUAGACAUAUGUUGACAUUUGAUGAAUGGGAUCACAUCAUUAGGAUAAUGAUGUGAUAGACAAGACCCAUCCGUUAGCUUAGCAUAAUGGUCGUUCAGUUUUAUUGCUAUAGCUUUCUUCAUGUCAUAUACAUAUAUUCCUUUGACUAUGAGAUUAUGCAACUCCCGAAUACCGGAGGAAUGCCUUGUGUGCUAUCAAACGUUACAACGUAACUGGGUGAUUAUAAAUAUGCUCUACAGGUAUCUUCGAAGGUGCUUGUUGGGUUAGCAUAGAUCAAGAUUAGGAUUUGUCACUCCGAGUAUCGGAGAGGUAUCUCUGGGCCCUCUCGAUAAUGCACAUCAUAAUAAGCCUUGCAAGCAAUGUGACUAAUGAGUUAGUUGCGGGAUGAUGCAUUACAAAACGAGUAAAGAGACUUGACGGUAACGAGAUUGAACUAGGUAUGAAGAUACCGACGGUCAAAUCUCGGGCAAGUAACAUACCGAUGACAAAGGGAAUAACGUAUGUUGUCAUUACGGUAUGACCGAUAAAGAUCUUCGUAGAAUAUGUGGGAACCAAUAUGAGCAUCCAGGUUCCGCUGUUGGUUAUUGACCGGAGAGGUGUCUCGAUCAUGUCUACAUAGUUCUCGAACCCGUAGGGUACGCACGCUUAACGUUCGAUGACGAUUUUGUAUUAUCUGAGUUAUGUGAUUUUGUAACCGAAUGCUGUUCGGAGUCCCGGAUGAGAUCACGGACAUGACGAGGAGUCUCAAAAUGGUCGAGAGGUAAAGAUUCAUAUAUAUGACGACAGUAUUCGCACACCGGAAGUGUUCCGGGGGUACCGGCUACGUAUUGGGUCACCGAAAGGGUUCCGGGCACCCCCACGGCAAAGAAAUGGGCCUUAUUGGGCCUAGGGCGGGACAGACCAGCCCCUUGUGGUCUGGUGCGCCCCCAUAUGGGCCGAUCUAAGUGGAGAAAGGAAAAGGGGAAGAGGAAAGGAAAUAGAGGGAAUAGGAUUCCCCCUUCCUUUCCCCUCUCCCCUCUUUCCUUCCCCCCUCCGGAGAUAAGGAAAGGGGGAGGCCGAAUUGGAGGAGGCCCCAAGUAGGAUUCCUCCUACUUGGGGUGCCCCAAGGCUUCUCCCCUCCCUCUCCCACCUAUAUAUAAAUGGGGAGGGGGUGCCUAGAACACACACCAACAAUUGUUAGCCGUGUGCGGCGUCCCCCUCCACAGUUUACGCCUCCGGUCAUAUUCACGUAGUGCUUAGGCGAAGCCUUGCGUGGAUUACUUCACCAUCACCGUCGCCACGCCGUCGUGCUGACGGAACUCUCCCUCGACACUUUGCUAGAUCAAGAGUUCGAGGAACGUCAUCGAGCUGAACGUGUGUAGAACUCGAAGGUGUCGUACGUUCGGUGCUUGAUCGGUCAGAACGAGAAGAAGUUCGACUACAUCAACCGCGUAAACAAACACUUCUGCUUUCGGUCUACGAGGGUACGUGGACACACUCUCCCCCUCUCGUUGCUAUGCAUCUCCUAGAUAGAUCUUGUGUGAUCGUAGGAUUUUUUUUGAAAUUGCAUGGUACGUUCCCCAACAGUGGCAUCUGAGCCAGGUCUAUCCGUAGAUGAUAUGCAUGAGUAGAACACAAAGAGUUGUGGGCGAUAAUAGUCAUAAUGCUUACCACCAACGUCUUAUUUUGAUUCGGCGAUAUUGUUGGAUGAAGCAGCCCGGACCAACCUUACAUGACCACGUUCAUGAGACCGGUUCCACCGACAGACAUGCAACUUGUUUUGCAUAAAGUUGGCUGGUGGGUGUCUGUUUCUCCAACUUUAGUUGAAUCGAAUUUGACUACGGCCGGUCCUUGUUGGAGGUUAAAACAUCACACUUGACGAAAAAUCGUUGUGGUUUUGAUGCGUAGGUAAGAACGGUUCUUACUAGAAGCCCGUAGCAGCCACGUGAAACUUGCAACAACAAAGUAGAGGACAUCUAACUUGUUUUUGCAUGACAUGUUGUGAUGUGAUAUGGUCAAUACAUGAUGUGAUAUACGUUAUUUUAUGAGAUGAUCAUGUUUUGUAAAAGUUACCAUCAACUGGCACGAGCCUUAUGGUUGUCGUUUUAUUGUAUGAAAUGUAAUCGCCAUGUAAUUGCUUUACUUUAUCACUAUGCGUUAGCGACAGUCAUAGAAGCAAUAGUUGGCGAGACGACAACGACGCUACGAUGGAGAUCAAGGUGUCAAGCCGGUGACAAUGGAGAUCAUGACGGUGCUUUGGAGAUGGAGAUCAAAGGCACAAGAUGAUGAUGGCCAUAUCAUGUCACAUAUUUUGAUUGCAUGUGAUGUUUAUCGUUUAUGCAUCUUAUUUUGCUUAGUACGGCGGUAGCAUUAUAAGAUGACCCCUCACUAAAUUUCAAGGUAUAAGUGUUCUCCCUGAGUAUGCACCGUCGCGACAGUUCGUCGUGCCGAGACACCACGUGAUGGUCGGGUGUGAUAAGCUCUACGUUCACAUACAACGGGUGCAACACAGUUUUGCACAUGCGGAAUACUCGGGUUAAACUUGACGAGCCUAGCAUGUACAUACAUGGCCUCGGAACAUAGAGACUGAAAGGUCGAACGUGAAUCAUAUAGUAGAUAUGAUCAACAUAGAGAUGUUCACCAUCGAAAACUACUCCAUCUCACGUGAUGAUCGGACAUGGUUUAGUUGAUUUGGAUCACGUGAUCAUUUAGAUGACUCGAGGGAUGUCUAUCUAAGUGGGAGUUCUUAAGUAAUAUGAUUAAUUGAACUUGAAUUUAUCAUGAACUUAGUCCUGAUAGUUUUUGCAUAUCUAUGUUGUAGAUCAAUGGCCCGUGCUACCGUUCCCUUGAAUUUUGUUCCUAGAGAAAGCUAAGUUGAAAGAUGAUGGUAGCAACUACAUGGACUGGGUCCGUAACUUGAGGAUUAUUCUCAUUGCUGCACAGCAGAAUUAUGUACUUGAUGCACCGCUAGGUGCGAGGCCUGUUGCAGGAGCAACUCCGGACGUUAUAACGUCUGGCAAACUUGAUCUGAUGACUACUCGAUAGUUCAGUGUGCCAUGGUCUACGGCUUAGAAUUGAAACUUCAAAGACGUUUUGAACGUCAUAGAGCAUAUGAGAUGUUCCAGGAGUUGAAGUUAAUAUUUCAAGCAAAUGCCCGAGUUGAGAGAUAUGAAGUCUCCAACAAGUUCUAUAGCUGCAAGAUGGAGGAGAAUAGUUCUGUCAGUGAACACAUACUCAGAAUGUCUGGGUACUUGAUACGUCUCCAACGUAUCUAUAAUUUUUGAUUGUUCCAUGCUAUUAUAUUAUCUGUUUGGAUGUUUAAUGGGAUUUACUAAGCACUUUAUUAUUAUUUUUGGGACUAACCUACUAACCCAAGGCCCAGUGCAAAUUGCUGUUUUUUUGCCUAUUUCAGUGUUUCGCAGAAAAGGAAUAUCAAACGGAGUCCAAACGGAAUGAAACCUUCGGGAGAGUUAUUUUUGGAACAAACGUGAUCCAGAGGACUUGGAGUGGACGUCAAGAAAGAAGCGAGGAGGCCACGAGGCAGGGAGGCGUGCCUGCCCCCCUGGGCACGCCCCCCACCCUCGUGGGCCCCUCGCAGCUCCACCGACCUACUUCUUCCUCCUAUAUAUACCCAUAUACCCCGAAACCAUCCAGGAGCACCACGAAACCCUAUUUCCACCGCCGCAACCUUCUGUACCCGUGAGAUCCCAUCUUGGAUCCUUUUCCGGCGCUCCGCCGAAGGGGGAAUCGAUCACGGAGGGCUUCUACACCAACACCAUAGCCUCUCCGAUGAUGUGUGAAUAGUUUACCACAGACCUUCGGGUCCAUAGUUAUUAGCUAGAUGGCUUCUUCUCUCUCUUUGGAUCUCAAUACAAAGUUCUCCUCGAUCUUCUUGGAGAUCUAUUCGAUGUAACUCUUUUUACGGUGUGUUUGUCGAGAUCCAAUGAAUUGUGGGUUUAUGAUCAAGAUUAUCUACGAACAAUAUUUGAAUCUCCUCUGAAUUCUUUUAUGUAUGAUUUGUUAUCUUUGCAAGUCUCUUCGAAUUAUCAGUUUGGUUUGGCCUACUAGAUUGAUCUUUCUUGCAAUGGGAGAAGUGCUUAGCUUUGAGUUCAAUCUUGCGUUGCUCGAUCCCAGUGACAGUAGGGGAAACGACACGUAUUGUAUUGUUGCCAUCGAGGAUAAAAAGGUGGGGUUUAUAUCAUAUUGCUUGAGUUUAUCCCUCUACAUCAUGUCAUCUGCCUAAUGCGUUACUCUGUUCUUAUGAACUUAAUACUCUAGAUGCAUGCUGGAUAGCGGUCGAUGUGUGGAGUAAUAGUAGUAGAUGCAGAAUCGUUUCGGUCUAUUUGUCGCGGACGUGAUGCCUAUAUACAUGAUCAUGCCUAGAUAUUCUCAUAAUUAUGCACUUUUCUAUCAAUUGCUCGACAGUAAUUUGUUCACCCACCGUAAUACUUAUGCUAUCUUGAGAGAAGCCACUAGUGAAACCUAUGCCCCCCGGGUCUAUUUUUCAUCAUAUUAAUCUCCCGUCAACUAGCUAUUUCUGUCGCCGUUUAUUUUGCAAUCUUUACUUUUAAUCUUUAUCAUAAAAAUACCAAAAAUAUUAUCUUAUCAUCUCUAUCAGAUCUCACUUUUGCAAGUGGCCGUGAAGGGAUUGACGACCCCUUUAUCACGUUGGUUGCAAGGUUCUUAUUUGUUUGUGUAGGUACGAGGGACUUGCGUGUGGCCUCCUACUGGAUUGAUACCUUGGUUCUCAAAAACUGAGGGAAAUACUUACGCUACUUUGCUGCAUCACCCUUUCCUCUUUAAGGGAAAACCAACGCAUGCUCAAGAGGUAGCAAGAAGGAUUUCUGGCCCCGUUGCUGGGAAGUCUACGCACAAGUCAAGACAUACCAAGUACCCAUCACAAACUCUUAUCCCCCGCAUUACAUUAUUUGCCAUUUGCCUCUCGUUUUCCUCUCCCCCACUUCACCCUUGCUGUUUUAUUCGCCACUACUAGGGAAAAGCUUAUACACAGACGCUUACUAGUAGCACGGGUUUAUACCCCUCGCUACUGCUACUUACUAGUAUCGCGUGUUUUUACCCCUCGCUACUACUAAGUUGAUAGUAGUAGCGCGGAUUUUUAACCCUCGCUACUACUAAGUGGUCUCUGCCGUGCCCCCCCGGGACAUGCCAUAGUAGUAACGAGGGUUAUAAACCCGCGCUACUACUUUAUGAAUACCUGUAGCGUCGGUCAGAUGCCUACGCUACUAGUAUAUUUCCACACCGCCCACCCCCGAUCACCCCACCAACCGUCCCACCCCACCCACCACUGUUUGUCUAAAAAAAGGGAAACGUUUGCUUUCGGACUGCCGGCGCAAGCUCGCGCCGGUCGCCCGCGACCCGUCCGAUCUAGGAGGAUCGAGCGACCCCUGAUAUGCCACGUGUGCUUCCAGCGAGUCCUCCUUACCUUAUCUACAACGUGCGUUGGUUCUCCUCCACACGUCGCGCUCCUUAGCUUUUCUCUCUCUCUUCUUUCUCCACAGCUGCUAACUAUCUCCAUCGCCCCCAUGCCAAGCCAUGGACGGCCACACGCCCUCUCCUUCAAAUCCCGCCUGCUACUCCUCCGACGAGCUCCUCACACACUCAUAGCUCUACUACGUGCGACCUCCUCUGUUCCCCUUUUGCUGCAUGGUCUAUUGGAGUCAACACGAGGCACUAGCAGAUGCUGCACAAGCAGUAGCUGAUGGGGGCUGCCUGUUACCACACGCAGUGGCUGCUGCUAGCCGGCGUUCGCCGCAGCUGCUACCACACGCCCGUGGUGCUAGAACCGGCACGGCGAGGUACAACCGGCGAGUGGCCAUGCUGCAACCAGCACACAGUAGUGCUGGAACCGGCAAGCGAAGAAGGUGUCAAUUUUUGCUGGAACCGACCGCAAUUUUUGCUACCAUCAUCUUCGAGUUUUGCUGGAACCAACCCAUUGUUUGUUGCCACGGGUUUUGUUUUUGCUGGAACCAUGUACCACCGUAUUUGUUUUUUGCUGGAAACCAGCCCAAAUUUUGCUACCAUGUUUUGUUUUUGCUGGAACUAGCGCACCAUUUUGUUACCAUCGUUUUGGAUUUUUGCCACUACAGGUGUUGUUGAUUGCUACAUUCAUUUUUCAUGACGAGUUUUGCUGUUUCAUGCCUAUGGGAAUAAGAGCUGGAGGAUUGGGAUCGACUACUACUCGAGCUGGAAACCAUCUGCCAAAGCUGCAUCCAUGACACAAAAUGCUACAUCCGGCAUUGUUUUUUUCUGGAACCAUAGAGAUUCACAUCGACGCACAAACAGGCGGCGACAACGGUGAUCUUUUUUUCUGGAACCAGCAUGAUUUUUUGCUACGACCGGCAGACAUUUUUGCUGCCACCGACAACUGAGACGAGGUCGGCGGGUGCGGUCGGCGUUCCCAGUUUUCACCGGUUGCAAUGCGGUCGUCUCCAUCAUCGUUGCAGCAUCUGUUGUCUGGCCUUGUAGCAUCCACAACCUGCCGUUGAACCAUCGUCUGGGGCGCAGCUCACAACACCAUUCAAGCAACUCGUGUUGCGCUGCCGCCGGGAUUCAGCACAGCUCCCACGCGCGACCCUUACAACAACGCCUGCUACAGGCCUACAGCAAGGUGAGAAGAAAAGGUCGUGGGCAAUAUAAUCGUCGAGGCGGGUGAAAGCUGUAGUGUAGCAAUGGAGGAAGGCCCAGCGUCGCGAGAUUAAUUCGCGUGUGGUAGAAGACGACCUGGACGCUAGCGUGAGAAAACGAAUGGCUGUCGUUAUAAGGUUUGAAGCGAUAUGGGAAGUGGAUUAAAGAAUAGUCAACAGAUCUAAUGGUUGGUGGACAAAGCAUCCGACGGCUCAGGUCCGACCGGCCGAAACUAGCGCCGGUCCGCCGGCGCCUAGCAGCCGCCAAAAAAAACACCCAACCCUCGAUCCAGAUCCCUUCCACCUCCUCUCUUCUCCCGAUUCACCCCUCGUCUCCCUCCCAUCCCACGCUGCCGCCGCCGCCUCCGCCGCUCACCACCCCGGCGACCUCCCCACGGGCGAUCCCCAGCCUCUCCCUCUCCUUCUCCCCUGCAUCCGUCGCCCGCACCUUCCCUCCCAGUCCCAGAUCAACCCGCGGGUGAGCCGGCGGCCAGGACACACGCGAAGCGACGGAGGUCGCCUGCGUCUCCCCAGUCGCCCUGCCACUGCUUCCUUGCUUUUCUCUGCGGUAGGAGAAGAAAACCUUGUCGGGGUGCCCAAGCCAUGGAGCACCAUCGUCAAGGUGCUCGGAUUCGUUUCGAUUUUGGGUUGCUUCUGCUCAUGUUGUUGGUUGCUCUCUUCUCUUGUGUUGGUGAUGAUGUGAGGGUGGCCCUUCCUUUUCUUUGCUGCAGUGCAGGAGAAGAAAACCCUAGACCGACCCGAGGAUUCGUCCGACAACCACCUGAGGAGGAAGCAAGCCAUGGACGGACCUCCCUUUCCUUGAAUGCUGCGCCCUCCCACCCAUCUUCCUGCAGCUGCAGGUAACCCCGGCCCCUCCCUCCCUGCGUGCACAUGCUAGUCUGGUCAUUACCCUGGCUGCGUACAGUAGCAGUAAACAUUGUUAGCUUAAUCCAAACUUAUUAGUCUACAAGUCUACAUCGGUGUAGUAGUCUAGGAAAACUAGCUUGAGUCGAUUUGCUUUUCUUGUGUUACUAGUGUCUGGCCAGAAUUAGUAAGGUGUGAUCAACGUGGCCGUAUAAUUAGAUUAGGAAAAAUACUAACUUGAGUCCGACUAGGACUUGUCCUAGCUAUCUAGCUGCGUUGGUAGGAGUAUAAUACCAGGAUUAGGAAUUUGUAGUCCAAGUCGGUUAAUAGGUGAGUCUGAUUUGACUAGAACCUGUAUCCACUGGUGGUGGCUGCGUCCAUAUAUAUACACCAGCUGGGUUCAUUCAAUGGAGUAACCUACACUAGCUCAUUCACUACUAGUUAGAUCAAUGGAGUAACCUGUUAUUUCCUUUGCAUUUUUUACUGUAAAAAGUCAUGGCUCACCUAUUAACCGGCGGCCGUAGAAGGACUAAUCACCUAAUUGAAACACUAAUAAUCAGAAGAUAGAUUGAACUUCGUUUAACGGAUAUACAACAUAUUGAAUUAAUUUCUAUUUGGUCUAAUUGAUAUAAUCAUGUCUAAUAGAGUUCACAAUCUUUACUUUGAAGAUCUGUAGCUAGACGUUAGAACUGUUGACAUGCAAAUAAUUAACUAACUGCAUGUCGUACUUGAAUUACAGGUUUUUUGUUUUCGUCACUCCUUUGUUAUAUGGAAGAAGACUUCAUGGUUAGCAUUAUUUAUUAUAACACAUUCAUAUAAGAUUUUCUUGCCACUGUAAGUAGGAAGUUAAUUUUUUUGGUCUGUUUUUUUUCUGCGGGGAUUUUGGUCUGUUUUUCUAAUAGUAUAUAUGAUCUUUCAGUCACAGUUCCAGUAUUUUAGAACUAAAUCUCCCCCCUAAUUAAAAUGCAGAAACGUGUUUUCUUUCAUGAUGUUUCAGUCACUGUCUUAGAAACACUAGAAAAUAUCUGUCGACAAACUUCUUCAUGGAACUAAUAUUUUUAUGCUAAUGACAAAUUGGAUUUAUAAUCUUUAACCUCGAAUCUUUAUAUGAUUUUAGUUACUACCAUAUCUGCUCUUGCAGGUCUACUAGAGUAUCCACUUCUGAAGAUAUUGAAUUGAUUCAUCACUCCAUGUUUUUCUGGGUCGUUUAGUUAUCACCCUGUUGCCACAAAACCAUGGCAUUCUAGAAAAUGUAAGUAUAGUAGGUUGCUCACAAGGAGAUGAGAGAAUUCAAGUGUCACUUUUAGAGAUGUAUUAUGAGAUUGAUCCACUGCAUCAUUUCGUCAUACAAAUUUGUUUGUUCUUAUAUGUGCCUUCGGACUAGCUAUUUCCAUAUUUUGUUUUAGGAAUUUAUUAGGAGUUCUGUAAUUUGGAGUUCUCCUAACUUUGAACACUGCAUUGGAGUUCUGUAAUUUGGAGUUCUCCUAACUUUCGUCAUACAAAUCUUUUAUGCACUUUCUUGUUGAGUGCCUUUAUUUUAAACUAUGAGAUAUGCCUAUGUUUAAUUCGGAAAUCUAAAUGCAAUCUUAUGUUGUUCCACCGAGGUUGAUUUUCAAAAUGUGUAUAUCUAAUAUUUCUUGCUGCAGCUUUAAGCUUCACUGUCAUCUAACUUUGUCUAGUUAAUUUUUGUUAUCUGUCUUUGAACCUAUAAAAUGGGUGAUAUGUACACUUGUCAUUAACUACAUGUGUUUCCUGAACAUGUCUAAAGUUUUUAUAAGAAAUGCAGUUCUGAGCUCGGGCAAUCGUAGGAUGACUAGACACAUACUACAUAUGAUUUGAGAUGUAUAUGUAUGCAGUUUCACCCUCUGCUAAAAAAUGUCCUAUACAAUGUAGACUUUGUGAAGCCACAUGAGCUAGGGGUUGCACCGCAGGAGCAUAGCGUGUACAAGUACUAAACAUUGAAGAUUGCAUUGCAGCUCAUCAGUAUGCCUUCCUUGCAAUCUUUGAAGCCAAUUAAAUUCGGAAGUGUUAUUUUUUCUGUACAAGUUUGUAUGUGUCAAGUACUUGCUAAUUGAUGUUUUGAGGGGUGCUCAUAUACUUACUCGGCAACAUGGAAAGUUUUCACAUUUGUUCUAGCUGUCUCUAUGGGUUAGCGACUUAGCAUACAUGUUGUAAUAAGGUUUCACAUUUGCUUCUCUGACAAAUAAGGUCUUUUUAUUCAUAGGUAGAAGAUAGCGACAGAGUGCUGCAGGAUAAUGAGAUGUUGAAGCGGUAGACUAAAUCCAUGACACCGAAGUGCAAUUGUGGCAGAUUAUCUCUAUCUUUUCUUUUCAUUUUUCUUAUUAUUGAGUGAGAACAGAAUGAGGAACUGUGUGAUAGUACAUACAACAACUGUAGUAAAAAGAAACUUAUGUUUGCAAUUGUUAAUGACAUAGAUACUUGCAUGUUCUUUGAAGUGGUUAUUUGUGAGUAGCAAUGCAUAAUGAGGUUUUUUGGCUGAUUUAUUUCCUUCGGUUUUCGGUUAACCAUGAAAUAGGAGCCCAGCAGUGCUCACUAUUGUGUUUACUGGGAACUGUAUGCAUAAAAUGGAAUUGGUGGAUUUUAUUUUUUUAAUUAUAAAUUAGUUAGUAGUGGCGUGGGAAAAAACUGCGCGCUAUUUAGGAUACUAGUAGCGUUGGUAGUAUGGACAUGCUACUACUAUUUUGUUAGUAGUGGCGCAGGUACGAAAUAGCAGUAGCGUGGGUGGCACUGUAGGAGAUAUGCCCUAGAGGCAAUAAUAAAUGAUAUUAUUUAUCUCCGAGUUCAUAAUUAUGUUUAUGUUCCAUGCUAUAACUGCUAUGGUUCUCGAGUCUGCAAUAACCACGAGGCUCGGAGGAAGACUCAUAUGCACGUGUGGAAUAAUAAACGGUAAAAUGUAUCCCUAGUUUGGCCUCUAAGACUAGCUCAAGUGUUGCAUGAUGGUUAUGUUUUCCUGAUCAUGGGCAUGUCUAUGUCAGCAACCUUGAGGGCACAAUGUUAAGAGAACAUUUGUGUUGAAUCGACCCGGCAUGAUGUUAUGCUAUGAGAUUCAUUCGUCACAAGUUUAUUGGUACAUAACACAGAGAUGGUUAACGUUUGCAUGAUUCCUUAGACCAUGAGAGUAUCGAGUUUCUUCAUGCUUGCUUCAUGAACUUUGGGGUUUGUUAAACGUCAUCCGUAAAUGGGUGGCUAUUACGGCGGCUUACGGGUUCAUGGAAAAGUGUGUCAAGUAACUUGAUAGCUCAAGAUUGGGAUUUGCUCCUCCGACGAUGGAGAGAUAUCUCUGGGCCCUCUCGGUGUUACGGUAUCCAUCAUCGUCUGGCCAGACACUUUGUGAUUUGAUCACGGGGAUGCCGGAACACGAUAACGAGAAAAGAGAACAAUACCGGUAACGAGGUAGCUAGCAUAGUGGACAAGUUGUUGAUCCACAGGAAUGCCAACAUGUCUCACCUCGGGUAUUUGUAACAUAUCGCGAAGCAACAGGACUAGCACACGGCAACUGGGGGUUCACUCGAAUAUUUAUUCGUGUGGGUAUAGGGGUCAAUAUGGGUGUCCACGGUUCCGAUGUUGAUCAUUGAUCGGAAGGGGUUCCGGGUCAUGUCUAUACUUCACCGAACCUAUAGGGUCACACGCUUAAGGGUCAUCUAUCUGCUGAAUACUAGACAGGGAGUCUGAGAGAAAAUCACCGAAAAAGUUUCGGACAGCGGAAUCGUACCGCAGAGAGAGGUCAUCGGAUAAGUUUCGAUGAUACCGAAAAGUUGUUUCGGGAUACACCAUUAAGUCAAAUUGGUUUCGGCACAUGCCUGAUAAUUCUUGGAGGAUGCCAGAAUCAUUCUGGAAGCUUUUUGGAAUUUUCUGAGAUAAAAACCGGAAAUGUUCCGGAGCUGCCGGAGCCACUUCAGAUGCGUUUCGCAGAUGAAAAUCACUAAAACCGGAAUUGUUUCGGAACGCGUUGAAAAUCAUUUUAGUGGGUACUGGAAAUGUUCUUAGCCCACAUAAAUAUUUUCAGUUCGAUCAGACGCUGAAAAAUGUCGUCGUGAAUAGAGAAAAUCAGCUUUAUGGUUACUUUAUGAAAAGCCACCUUUUGGGGCUUUGCUCCAAAAGAUUUUGGGGAUGACAUGGAUGGAUAGGAGCCAUUUUUUGGGCCCCUCAUGGGGGUGUGGCCGGCCACAUGGGGUAUCCCCCCUUGGGGACCCUCUUGUUCCUUGGUUUCACUCCUAGGUCCUUGUGGAAGGACUUCAUUCAUGUGCAUUUUGGGUUUUUUGUGAAACUACCCUACCCCCUUGGGAUUUCCUAUAAAUAGAGGUGGAGGGGCAGCCCUCCACACUCAUCCCUUGCUCUCAUACACAUGCCAUGCAUUAUCUGGCUUCUUCUCUCCCUCCCACGAAAAGAGUUUCGUAGAGCCGUAAGGCUGUCUGGGUUCCGGCAGGAACUAGUUCUGGACGACGAAGCCCUGCCGGAUAGAUGACACCGUAUGUGUGCAACUCUGUAGAGAGAUCGUAGUUUCGGUCUUAGUUCGUGAGUGCCUCCCGAAGGGCUGUCCAUGUGACCGUCCGAGUUUUGAAGGUCCUCCCGAAGGGCUGUCCGAGUGACCGUUCGAGUUUCGAAGGUCCUCCCGAAGGGCUGUCCGCGACACCGUCCGGGGGGCUGUUCGACCGCCUCCCGGAGGGCUGUCUGAGGAGCAGAUGAGGGUAUACAUCCUCGCGGUUGGGAGGUUGUAAAUCCUAGCUGCGGGGAUCUGCACCGCCGAUCGUCAUCGACUCUACUUCCCGCUGCGCUACGAGUCGGUAACGAAAAAGAUCAAACCAUGUAUGCAGUCUCCAUAGUGGUCCUGGGCUGGUGCGUAGGUCGGAAAAUUUUUGUUUUCUGCUGCGUUACCCUACAGGCACAUGCUACUACUAACUAUUAGCUGUAGCGCGAUACUAGUAGCGCGGGUACCCGCGUUGCUAAUAGCCAUUUUACCCGCGCUGCUAGUAGCCUUUUUCCUAGUAGUGCGUCCUCUUUUUCCGUUCGCCCUUCCUCUUGCUUCUUGUGUAUCAGUGUGUUAGAUCGUUUGCCUUGCUGUCAUGGCUAGUCCUUCUAUCAUUGUUAGUACUCCCGAUCAUGAAGUUCUUAAUUUUAAACAAAGGAAGGGAGAAAAUCUAAAAGACGCUUGGCAUAGAAUUUGCAAUGCUCAGAAUAGAUCUAUUAGGAAGCAAUCCACUUUCGUUCUUCUUCGCAAUUUUUAUGUAGGCAUCACCCCUUGAAAUAGAUAUAUUCUUGAUACCAUUACCGGAGGGAAUUUCUUGGGUAGCCAUACUUUUGAUUCUUAUAAUGCUAUGAUAGAUUUGGUUGGUCCACCACCUCUUUUGGUUAAUGAAACUAUUUUAACUUUGGAACAUGUGAUGCAAAGGCUUGAAAUUAUUGAAAAUAAAGUUGCCACUGUAGAGUUGAUUGAAAAUUUGGAUAAAAAGAUCCACAACCAAAUUACCCAAUACGGAUCUAAGGUAGGAGUUGCUCUUAUUUUUUUUAAGAAAAGGAACCCAUAGUUAACGAAAAGAUAGAUCAAGAUUCCACAAGAAUUGAUAAAAUUGAGUUUAUUAUUACUAACUUAGGGUCUGCCUUUUCUUCCGUGAAAAAUACUCCAAAACCUCCUAAUGCUAAAGUUGCCAAAUUAAUGUAUGUUCCUAAAAAUAAGGGUGAAUCUUCUAGUAAGGGAAAUGCGGAUCUCAAAUUAAUAAGUGUUCACCCCAACUUUUUCGCUAUCAUUAAUGAACCUUUUGCUACAAAUAAAUUUCUUGAUUUCUUGCCUAUGAGUUUGAUCAUUAAUAAAAAGAAGGAAACUCCUAAGGGUUAUAAGUGUUCUAUUGAAGAAUUGCCUACCAAAGAUGAUAAUACCUAGAUCUAUCCUUGCCUUUAUGCCUAGCUAGGGGCGUUAAACGAUAGCACUUGUUGGGAGGCAACCCAAUUUUAUUUUUGUUUCCUGCUUUUUGGUUCUGUUUAGUAAUAAAUAAUUCAUCUAGCUUCUGUUUAUAUGUGGUUUCAUGUUUUAAUUAGUGUUUGUGCCAAGUAGAAUCUUUGGGAAGACUUGGGUGAAGUCUUUUUGAUCUUGCUGUAAAAAACAGAAACUUUAGCGCUCAUGAGAUUAGCUACAACUUUUUACUGGAGAGUGCUAUUUAGUUGAUUCUUUUUGCAGAUGAUUAAUAGAUAAAUUCCUCACGUCCAGAAAUUUAUUUUAGAAUUUUUGGAGUUCCAGAAGUAUACGUUUGAUCCAGAUUACUACAGACUGUUCUGUUUUUGACAGUUUCUGUUUUUCGUGUGUUGUUUGUUUAUUUUGAUGAAUCUAUGGCUAGUAUCGGAGGUUAUGAACCAUAGAGAAGUUGAAAUACAGUAGGUUUAAAACCAAUAUAAAUAAAGAAUGAGUUCAUUACAGUACCUUGAAGUGAUGGUUUGCUUUCUUAUACUAACAGAGCUCAUGAGAUUUUCUGUUAAGUUUUGUGUUGUGAAGUUUUCAAGUUUUGGGUAAAGAUUUGAUGGAUUAUGGAACAAGGAGUGGCAAGAGCCUAAGCUUGGGGAUGCCCAAGGCACCCCAAGAUAAAAUUCAAGGACAACCAAAAGCCUAAGCUUGGGGAUGCCCCGGAAGGCAUCCCCUUUUUCGUCUUCGUCCACCGGUAACUUUACUUGAUGCUAUAUUUUUAUUCACCACGUGAUAUGUGUUUUGCUUGGAGCGUCUUGUAUGAUUUGAGUCUUUGCUUUUUAGUUCACCACAAUCAUCCUUGAUGUACACACCUUUUGGGAGAGACACACAUUAAUCGGAAUUUAUUAGAAUACUGUAUGUGCUUCACUUAUAUCUUUUGAGCUAAAUAAUUUUGCUCUAGUGCUUCACUUAUAUCUUUUAGAGCACGGUGGUGGUUUUAUUUUAUAGAAAUUAUUGAUCUCUCAUGCUUCACUUAUAUUAUUUUGAGAGUCUUUUAGAACAACAUGAUAGUUUGCUUUGGCUAUAAAAUUAGUCCUAAUAUGAUGAACAUCCAAGAUAGGUAUAAUAAAAACUAUCAUAUAGAGUGCAUUGAAUACUAUGAGAAGUUUGAUACUCGAUAAUUGUUUUGAGAUAUGAAUAUGGUGAUAUUAGAGUCAUGCUAGUUGAGUAGUUGUGAAUUUGAGAAAUACUUGUUCUAAAAUUUGUGAUUCCCGUAGCAUGCACGUAUGGUGAACCGUUAUGUGAUGAAGUCGGAGCAUGAUUUAUUUAUUGAUUGUCUUCCUUAUGAGUGGCGGUCGGGGACGAGCGAUGGUCUUUUCCUACCAAUCUAUCCCCCUAGGAGCAUGCGCGUAGUACUUUGUUUCGAUAACUAAUAGAUUUUUGCAAUAAGUAUGUGAGUUCUUUAUGACUAAUGUUGAGUCCAUGGAUUAUACGCACUCUCACCCUUCCACCAUUGCUAGCCUCUCUAAUACCGCGCAUCUUUCGCCGGUAUCAUACACCCACCAUAUACCUUCCUCAAAACAGCCACCAUACCUACCUAUUAUGGCAUUUCCAUAGCCAUUCCGAGAUAUAUUACCAUGCAACUUACCACCGUCCCGUUUAUUAUGACACGCUUCAUCAUUGUCAUAUUGCUUUGCAUGAUCAUGUAGUGGACAUCGUAUUUGUGGCAAAGCCACCUUCAUAAUUCUUUCAUACAUGUCACUCUUGAUUAAUUGCAUAUCCCGGUACACCGCCGGAGGCAUUCACAUAGAGUCAUAUUUUGUUCUAAGUAUUGAGUUGUAAGUAAAUAAAAGUGUGAUGAUCAUCAUUAUUAGAGCAUUGUCCCAAGUGAGGAAAGGAUGAUGGAGACUAUGAUUCCCCCACAAGUCGGAUGAGACUUCGGACGAAAAAAAAGAGGCCAUAAAAAAAAGAGAAAGGCCCAAAUAAAAAAAAUAAAAAAAGAGAGAAAAAGAGAGAAGGGACAAUGUUACUAUCCUUUUUCCACACUUGUGCUUCAAAGUAGCACCAUGAUCUUCAUGAUAGAGAGUCUCCUAUGUUGUCACUUUCAUAUACUAGUGGGAAUUUUACAUUAUAGAACUUGGCUUGUAUAUUCCAGUGAUGGGCUUCCUCAAAAUGCCCUAGGUCUUCGUGAGCAAGCGAGUUGGAUGCACACCCACUUAGUUUUUUUGUUGAGCUUUCAUACACUUAUAGCUCUAGUGCAUCCGUUGCAUGGCAAUCCCUACUCACUCACAUUGAUAUCUAUUAAUGGGCAUCUCCAUAGACCGUUGAUAAGCCUAGUUGAUGUGAGACUAUUUUCUCCUUUUUUGUCUUCUCCACAACCACCAUUCUAUUCCACAUAUAGUGCUAUGUCCAUGGCUCACGCUCAUGUAUUGCGUGAAGAUUGAAAAAGUUUGAGAACAUCAAAAGUAUGAAAAAAUUGCUUGGCUUGUCAUCGGGGUUGUGCAUGAUUAAAUACUUUGUGUGAUGAAGAUAGAGCAUAGCCAGACUAUAUGAUUUUGUAGGGAUAACUUUCUUUGGCCAUGUUAUUUUGAGAAGACAAGAUUGCUUUGUUAGUAUGCUUGAAAUAUUAUUAUUUUUAUGUCAAUAUUAAACUUUUAUCUUGAAUCUCUCGGAUCUGAAUAUUCAUGCCACAAUAAAGAAAAUUACAUUGAGAAAUAUGCUAGGUAGCAUUCCACAUCAAAAAUUCUGUUUUUAUCAUUUACCUACUCGAGGACGAGUAGGAAUUAAGCUUGGGGAUGCUUGAUACGUCUCCAACGUAUCUAUAAUUUUUGAUUGUUCCAUGCUAUUAUAUUAUCUGUUUUGGAUGUUUAAUGGGCUUUACUAAUCACUUUAUUAUUAUUUUUGGGACUAACCUACUAACCCAAGGCCUAGUGCAAAUUGCUGUUUUUUUUGCCUAUUUCAGUGUUUUGCAGAAAAGGAAUAUCAAACGGAGUCCAAACGGAAUGAAACCUUCGGGAGAGUUAUUAACGUGAUCCAGAGGACUUGGAGUGGACGUCAAGAAAGAAGCGAGGAGGCCAUGAGGCAGGGAGGCGCGCCUGCCCCCCUGGGCGCGCCCCAACCCUCAUGGGCCCCUCGCAGCUCCACCGACCUACUUCUUCCUCCUAUAUAUACCCAUAUACCCUGAAACCAUCCAGAAGCACCACGAAACCCUAUUUCCACCGCCGCAACCUUCUGUACCCGUGAGAUCCCAUCUUGGGGCCUUUCCAACGCUCCGCCGGAGGGGGAAUUGAUCACGGAGGGCUUCUACAUCAACACCAUAGCCUCUCCGAUGAUGUGUGAGUAGUUUACCACAGACCUUCGGGUCCAUAGUUAUUAGCUAGAUGGCUUCUUCUCUCUCUUUGGAUCUUAAUACAAAGUUCUCCUCGAUCUUCUUGGAGAUCUAUUCGAUGUAACUCUUUUUGUGGUGUGUUUGUCGAGAUCCGAUGAAUUGUGGGUUUAUGAUCAAGAUUAUCUAUGAACAAUAUUUGAAUCUCCUCUGAAUUCUUUUAUGUAUGAUUUGUUAUCUUUGCAAGUCUCUUCGAAUUAUCAGUUUGGUUUGGCCUACUAGAUUGAUCUUUCUUGCAAUGGGAGAAGUGCUUAGCUUUGGGUUCAAUCUUGCGUUGCUCGAUCCCAGUGACAGUAGGGGAAACGACACAUAUUGUAUUGUUGCCGUCGAGGGUAAAAAGAUGGGGUUUAUAUCAUAUUGCUUGAGUUUAUCCCUCUACAUCAUGUUAUCUUGCCUAAUGCGUUACUCUGUUCUUAUGAACUUAAUACUCUAGAUGCAUGCCGGAUAGCGGUCGAUGUAUGGAGUAAUAGUAGUAGAUGCAGAAUCGUUUCGGUCUACUUGUCGCGGACGUGAUGCCUAUAUACAUGAUCAUGCCUAGAUAUUCUCAUAAUUAUGCACUUUUCUAUCAAUUGCUCGACAGUAAUUUGUUCACCCACCGUAAUACUUAUGCUAUCUUGAGAGAAGCCACUAGUGAAACCUAUGGCCCCCGGGUCUAUUUUCCAUCAUAUUAAUCUCCCGUCAACUAGCUAUUUCUGUCACCGUUUAUUUUGCAAUCUUUACUUUUAAUCUUUAUCAUAAAAUACCAAAAAUAUUAUCUUAUUAUCUCUAUCAGAUCUCCCUUGUGCAAGUGGCCGUGAAGGGAUUGACAACCCCUUUAUUGCGUUGGUUGCAAGGUUCUUAUUUGUUUGUGUAGGUACUAGGGACUUGCGUGUGGCCUCCUACUAGAUUGAUACCUUGGUUCUCAAAAACUGAGGGAAAUACUUACGCUACUUUGCCGCAUCACCCUUUCCUCUUCAAGGGAAAACCAACGCAUGCUCAAGAGGUAGCAGUACCAUAACCACUUGACUCAGCUGGGAGUUAAUCUUCCUGAUGAUAGUGUCAUUGACAGAGUUCUUCAAUCACUGCCACCAAGCUAUAAAGGCUUCGUGAUGAACUAUAAUAUGCAAGGGAUGAAUAAGACGAUUCCCGAGCUCUUCGCAAUGCUUAAGGCUGCGGAGGUAGAAAUCAAGUAGGAGCAUCAAGUGUUGCUGGUUAACAAGACCACUAGUUUCAAGAAAAAGGGCAAAGGGAAGAAGGGGAACUUCAAAAGAAUAGCAAACACGUUGCUGCUCCCGGGAAGAAGCCAAAGUCUGGACCUAAGCCUGAAACUGAGUGCUUCUACUGCAAAGGGACUGGUCACUGGAAGCGGAACUGCCCCAAGUAUUUGGCGGAUAAGAAGGAUGGCAAAGUGAACAAAUGUAUAUUUGAUAUACAUGUUAUUGAUGUGUACAUUACUAAUGCUCGUAGUAGCGCCUGGGUAUUUGAUACUGGUUCUGUUUCUCAUAUUUGCAACUCGAAACAAGGGCUACGGAUUAAACGAAGAUUGGCUAAGGACGAGGUGACGAUGCGCGUCGGAAAUGGUUCCAAGGUCGAUGUGAUUGUCGUCGGCACGCUACGUCUACAUCUACCUUCGGGAUUAGUUUUAGACCUGAAUAAUUGUUAUUUGGCGCUAGCAUUGAGCAUGAACUUUAUAUCUAGAUCUUGUUUGAUGCGAGACGGUUAUUCAUUUAAAUAAGAGAAUAAUGGUUGUUCUAUUUAUAUGAGUAAUAUCUUUUAUGGUCAUGCACCCUUGAUGAGUGGUCUAUUUUUGUUGAAUCUCGAUCGUAGUGAUACACAUAUUCAUAAUAUUGAUGCCAAAAGAAGCAAAGUUAAUAAUGAUAGUGCAACUUAUUUGUGGCACUGCCGUUUAGGUCAUAUUGGUGUAAAGCGCAUGAAGAAACUCCAUGCAGAUGGACUUUUGGAAUCACUUGAUGCUUGCGAACCAUGCCUCAUGGGCAAGAUGACUAAGACUCCGUUCUUCGGAACAAUGGAGCGAGCCACUGACUUAUUGGAAAUAAUGCAUACCGAUGUAUGCGGUCCGAUGAGUGUUGAGGCUCGCGACGUGUAUCGUUAUUUUCCGACCUUCACAGAUGAUUUGAGAAGAUAUGGGUAUAUCUACCCUCAUAUGGGCCGAUCUAAGUGGAGAAAGGAAAAGGGGAAGAGGAAAGGAAAUAGAGGGAAUAUGAUUCCCCCUACCUUUCCCCUCUCCCCUCUUUCCUUCCCCCCUCCGGAGAUAAGGAAAGGGGGAGGCUGAAUUGGAGGAGGCCCCAAGUAGGAUUCCUCCUACUUGGGGCGCCCCAAGGCUGCUCCCCUCCCUCUCCCACCUAUAUAUACAUGGGGAUGGGCGCCUAGAACACACACCAACAAUUGUUAGCCAUGUACGGCGCCCCCCUCCACAGUUUAUGCCUCCGGUCAUAUUCACAUAGUGCAUAGGCGAAGCCCUGCGCGGAUUACUUCACCAUCACCGUCACCACGCCGUCGUGCUGAUGGAACUCUCCCUCGACACUUUGUUGGAUCAAGAGUUCGAGGGACGUCAUCGAGAUGAACGUGUGCAGAACUCGGAGGUGCCGUACGUUCGGUGCUUGAUCGAUCGGAACGAGAAAAAGUUCGACUACAUCAACCGCGUAAACAAACACUUCCGCUUUCGGCCCACGAGGGUACGUGGACACACUCUCCCCCUCUCAUUGCUAUGCAUCUCCUAUAUAGAUCUUGCGUGAUCGUAGGAAUUUUUUGAAAUUGCAUGCUACGUUGGCUGCUGAUGUCUACUACGCAACUUUAUUCUUGUAGACACAUGUUGGGCCUCCAAGCGCAGAGUUUUGUAGGACAGUAGCAAUUUUUACUCAAGUGGAUGACCUAAGGUUUAUCAAUCCGUAGGAGGCGUAGGAUAAAGAUAUAUAGUCUCUCUCAAAGGACCCUGCAACCAAAUACAAAAAAUCUCUUGUGUCCCCAACACACCCAAUACAAUGGUAAUUUGUAUAGGUGCACUAGUUGGGCGAAGAGAUGGUGAUAAAAAUGUAAUAUUGAUGGUAGAAAUAUAUUUUUAUAAUCUGAAUAAAUAAAAAUAGCAAGGUAGCAAUUGAUAAAAGUGAGCACAAACGGUAUUGCAAUACUUAAAAAGUGAGGCCUAGGGUCCGUACUUUCACUAGUGCAAUCUCCCAACAAUGCUAAUAUAAUUGGAUCAUAUAACCAUCCCUCAACGUGCGAGGAAGAAUCACUCCAAAGUUCCUAUCUAGCGAAGAACAUAAGAAUAAAUUGUUUGUAGGGUACGAAACCACCUCAAAGCUAUUCUUUCCGAUCUAGAGUUCGUACUAAAAUAACAACAAGCUAUUCUUUCUGAUCGAUCUAACCAAGAGUUCGUACUAAAAUAACACUAAAGCAAAUUCAGAUUCAUAAUACUCAAUCCGACACAAAGAACUUCAAAGAGUGCCCCAAGAUUUCUACCGGAGAAACAAAGACAAGAACAUGCAUAAACCCCUAUGCAUAGAUUACCCCAAUGUCACCUCGGGAAUCCGCGAGUUGAGUGCCAAAACAUAUAUCAAGUGAAUCAAUACGAUACCCCAUUGUCACCACGAGUAUUCAAUUGCAAGACAUAUAUAAAGUGUUCUCAAAUCCAUAAAAGUAUUCAAUCCUAUAACAACGAAAUCACAAAGGGAAAAACUCAAUUCAUCACAACAAGAUAGAGAGGGGAAAACACCAUAUGAUUCAACUAUAUUAACAAAGCCCGCGAUACAUCAAGAUCGUGACAUCUCAAGAACACGAGAGAGAGAGAGAGAGAGAGAGAGAGAGAGAGAUUAAACACAUAGCUAUUGGUACAAACCCUCAGCCCCGAUGGUGGACUACUCCCUCCUCAUCAUGGUGGCCGCUGGGAUGAUGAAGAUGGCCACCGGUGAUGAUUUCCCCCCUCCGGCAGGGUGCUGAAAAGGGUCUAGAUUCAUUUUCGGUGGCUACAGAGCCUUGCGGCGGCGGAACUUCUGAUCUAGGUUAACCCCGAGGGUUUCUGGAAUUUUUGGAAAUUUAUAGUGUAAAGAGAGGGUGCGGGAGGCCACCGAGGUGGGCACAACCCACCUGGGCGCGCCUAUGCCCCCCUCGGGGCACCCCCUAGGUGCUGCUCUGGCCCAUCCUAGGUGUCCUGCUCCAUAAAAAAUCUCCAAAAAGUUUCACGGCGUUUGGACUUCGUUUGAUAUUGAUUUCCUGCGAUGUAAGAAACAAGCAAAAAACUGCAACUGGCACUGGACACUGGGUCAAUAAGUUAGUCCCAAAAAGUGAUAUAAAGUUGCUAUAAAAUGAUUGUAAAACAUCCAAGAAUGAUAAUAUAUCAAUAUGAAUACUUCAUAAAUUAUAGAUACGUUGGAGACGUAUCAGCUGCCUCCCGAGGAGUGGAGAUUUCUAUGUAGGUGCCCACCUCGUGAGGUUGAGGUGACGCAAGCCAUGACGACCAAGGCCAGGCGGGCGCAGAGGAGCAGGUUUCCUCUUUGGUGCUAAGGAGGCAAGCGUAGGCGUGGGAUCCCUUCCCGCCUACAUUUUGGGGGAAGAGGACCGAGGCCACUAUAAAUAUAGGUUAGCCACCACCAUAGGGGAAGGCCGAUCCCUUUCCACCCUCACCAGAGCAGACCUCGCGAGGUUGUUCAUCCCUUAUACUAGUUCAUCCUCAACCCCUCGUGAGGCUAAUCCACCUGAAAGUAGGAGUAGGGUCUUACACCGCAAGGUGGCCCGAACCUGGGUAACUGAUGUGUCCAUCUUCUUCCUUCUUCACCGAGUUAGGCCGUGCGGACGACGAGCUGGCUGGCUAAAGAGGUCGAGUUCUUCGCACACGCCCCAGAGUUCGAACCUUUCUUGGGUCUGCGGAGCCCUGAAUCUGACAAUUUCCUUUUCUGCAAUGAUACAUUUUUAAUAGCUAGAUCAACAAUUAUUCAUGAAAUCACGGUUACAUCAUCAUUAGAACAUCCAAUAGAAACUUUGGUGGAUUAUCGGGUCAAUUCUCGAUGAACCGAGGAUGGUUCGAAAGAAAAUCCGAUGGGGGUGGAUGUGUACUAGAGAGACAUUGGAAGAGAAAAAAUAUAUAGGUUGAAAACAAAUUUAAAUCUCGAGUGAGGUGGUUUUUGUGUUGGAUACAUUUGCCCUUGAUUAGCUACUCCAUACAACUUCAUCAGCAUAGACACACAAUUCCAAAGGCCAACUUGGCAGAAUCCUAGUUGAAUAUCUUAACGCUCUUACUGCACUUGAACAAUGAGAUUUUGAAAAGAAGUCUGGGAAACAUGCAUUUAAUUCUAAUAUAAUCCCUAGAAAAAAUGGUAUAAAAAACCGCUUUCAUGCACCUAGUGAAUAAAUUGCUUUUCCUAGUAUAUGAGAGAGGGGAAUUUUUUCGAUUAAACUUCACAUUCAUGCUAAUAAAUUUGUGGUGAAUUUAAACUUUCAUUCAAAUCACUGAGUCAAUUUGCUAUAAAAUUUGACAUGACCUUUGCUCUUAUUUAGAGUUUUGGUUCAUUCUCAAACCAGAAAUAGUAUGAAGGACUUAGAAAUUAAUAGUACAAUUCAAUGUGAAUUGGAAAUUCAUUUAUAAAUAAUAAACAACUGAUAAGGGAAAAUCAAACUUUAUUGAUAAUUGGGAAAUAAUACAAAGUUAUGUUACAAAAAAAUAAAGGAAACUUUAUUUAAAAAUGCCAUUACAAAUUCUUACAAAAAGAAUGAACUAUAGUAAAUCUAUCUAUUUUCUAUCCUAUUAUAAAUCUUCAAGAUCUUCUUGAUCUUCUUCAUUUCCAAAAUCAGCAAAAGAAGUACCAAAGGAAAAAAAGAAAUUAUUAUUGUUAAAAGCGCCCCCUCCUUCAUGGAGGGAUAGUAAGAUUGAGCCCACCUCCAUCCUCUUCUCAGUUUCCCAAGUCGUCCUUCGUCUCGGUUCUAGUAUCACGUUAGAUCUCUGAACUGAAGCCAGAUUAAGCUCGCCGUUUCCGGUGGGUCGUCGGCGUCGGAGUGGACGUUGGAGGGGCCAGUGUUUUGUGUGGCCGGGAGGGAGGGAGUGGGUUGGGUUCGUUGGUGGGUGACGUCGGCCCCGCAACCCUCGCCUCGCAACUCGUCGUUGCUGCCUUUCUUACGUGUCUGUCAGUAGGAGUGGAGCCAACCACCGCUCUCCGUCACGCUAGGCCUUCUGGUGCGGAAAGAUAUUUGUGAUUCGUAAAUGAUAAAUAAAAAUAGGUUGUUAGACGUUUAUUGAAAUGACACCAGCUGAAGGUCAACGUUUUCUGAGACCUUUUCAUAUUUCCAGUACAAUUUAUCCAAAACUUAGUUACCACAGUAUUCAGAGGAGCAUGCCUGGAAGUGUCGUAUUCCAUUUUUCUCUUGUUCGGAGCAUACAAUGUACACUGAUUUAUCUACUACUACCUCCGUUUCUAAAUAUAAGUCUUUUUAGAUAUUUCACUACAGACUACAUACGAAGUAAAAUGAGUAAAUCUACACUCUAAAAUAUGUCUAUAUACAUCCGUAUAUAGUUCAUAGUGGAAUCUCUAAAAAGACUUACAUUUAGAAACGGAGGGAGUGUAUGGAACUUGCAGAAAUACGAGUAUAGCGACACCAGCUUGCUGACAUGCACUCUCUCUCUCUCUCUCUCUCUCUCUCUCUCUCUCUAUGUUUUGACAGCUUGGCCGCCCUUUGUUGCUGCUGUCUGCUGGAAGCUUGCUUCUAAGUUCUAAGCGAGAGGGGACAGAUUUGGUGCAGCUAUGUGUUCCAUAUUGAAAAUUGUGAUUGGUUGCUAAUUAGUACUCCCUCUGUCCUGUAAUGUAGGACGUUUUUGCAAACUAACAUAGCUUGCAAAAACGUCUUGCAUUAUAGGACGGAGGGAGUAGGAGAUUACAAGAACUCCUUGCCGUCAUGUUUGUAUGUUCAGAUGAUUGCUGCACCUUUUCACAAAAGAAGAGAUGAUUGCUGUACCCAGUGAACAAGAAAAAUCGAGCAUGAAAGCUCUAGCAAAGCCAGAAUACCCUGAAGAAAAGGCUAAUCCACGGCAUGCUGUCUGAAGAUAAAACUAUUCACAGUAGAAUAUACUACCGUUUAUGUCAGACACACACCAAUAAUAACUUGGAAAUUCAGCAGGGUUUCAACAACAUAACAAACUUGGUAAUCCAACAGGAGUUCAAGAAAUUCAGCAGGGUUUCAACAACAUAACAAACUUGGAAAUUCAGCAGGGUUUCAACAACAUAACAGACCACGACAGUACUAAGGGAGUGCCACUAGUGAGCAUCCGACAGAUUACUGCUGCACACCAUUACAGCAGCAUACACACACAUACACAUAACAGGACGGAGGAGAGGCGAAAGCAUCAACUGAAGGCCGUCACUCAGUGGCAACCAGCGGCAUGUUUCUGCGGCCUGAUCCAGUCGUGCAGCACCAUGGUCACCCUGUCGUGCUGCUUCACGGAGGAUCCGUGCAGGAGCGGGGCGGCGCGGGCGAGGACGCGGUUGUAGUGGACGUACUCCUUCUGCCGGAACCUCUCCUGCUCGGGCGGCGUCAUCUCCUCCCACUCGGCGUGCAGCUUCUCCGACAGGCUCCGGUCGAUGUUGUACCUGGUGGCGCCGAAGCACGUCUGGCUCAGGACCCGCCUCGCAAGGGUCUGCAGGUCGGGCACACGAGCCCCGUGCGUCGACCACCAUUCAACU
Molecule: long non-coding RNA, 30785 nt
Filed under: Triticum aestivum (bread wheat)
Lineage: Eukaryota; Viridiplantae; Streptophyta; Magnoliopsida; Poales; Poaceae
Description: long non-coding RNA (TAES_LNC018306)
Rfam family: MIR1120/MIR1122 microRNA precursor family (bases 29889-29975)
Source: RNAcentral